UACGGAGGAUGCGAGCGUUAUCCGGAUUUAUUGGGUUUAAAGGGUGCGUAGGCGGUCCGUUAAGUCAGCGGUAAAAUUGCGGGGCUCAACCCCGUCGAGCCGUUGAAACUGGCAGACUUGAGUUGGCGAGAAGUACGCGGAAUGCGCGGUGUAGCGGUGAAAUGCAUAGAUAUAACUUAGAACACCGAUAGCGAAGGCAGCUUACCAGACUGAGUCUGACGCUGAUGCACGAGAGCAUGGGUAGCGAACAGG
Molecule: ribosomal RNA, 252 nt
Filed under: uncultured Bacteroidales bacterium
Lineage: Bacteria; Pseudomonadati; Bacteroidota; Bacteroidia; Bacteroidales
Description: partial 16S ribosomal RNA
Rfam family: Bacterial small subunit ribosomal RNA
Source: RNAcentral